UGGGGAAUAUUGCACAAUGGGCGCAAGCCUGAUGCAGCCAUGCCGCGUGUGUGAAGAAGGCCUUCGGGUUGUAAAGCACUUUCAGCGAGGAGGAAGGUGGUGAGCUUAAUACGCUCAUCAAUUGACGUUACUCGCAGAAGAAGCACCGGCUAACUCCGUGCCAGCAGCCGCGGUAAUACGGAGGGUGCAAGCGUUAAUCGGAAUUACUGGGCGUAAAGCGCACGCAGGCGGUUUGUUAAGUCAGAUGUGAAAUCCCCGGGCUCAACCUGGGAACUGCAUUUGAAACUGGCAAGCUAGAGUCUCGUAGAGGGGGUAGAAUUCCAGGUGUAGCGGUGAAAUGCGUAGAGAUCUGGAGGAAUACCGGUGGCGAAGGCGGCCCCCUGGACGAAGACUGACGCUCAGGUGCGAAAGCGUGGGGAGCAAGCAGAUUAGAUACCCUGGUAGUCACGCCCUAAACGUGUCAACUAGCUGUU
This 473-nucleotide ribosomal RNA is filed under the name uncultured bacterium. RNAcentral describes it as "partial 16S ribosomal RNA". It matches the Rfam family "Bacterial small subunit ribosomal RNA", at positions 355 to 824 of the family's 1533-position model. The record is from RNAcentral.